GAAAUGCGAUACGUAAUGCGAAUUGCAGAACUCAGUGAAUCAUCAAAUCUUUGAACGCAAAUGGCGCUCCCGGGAUAGGCCUGGGAGCACGCCUCUUUGAGUGUCGAUUCAAUCAAACUCAGCGACCUGCGCGAAUUCAUUUUUGUAGUGGGCGCAGCUGAAUAUUGAGUGUCUCACGUGAGUGAGUCACUUUAAGCGGAGCGAGUCUCCUUUCUUCUAGCACCGGUGAAAGCUUCGGCUUUUGCCUAGCCUAGGAUGAGUUUUUGCCACUGCUUAAACUCGUAG
RNAcentral lists this unclassified non-coding RNA (285 nucleotides) under uncultured fungus. RNAcentral's name for it is "sequence contains ITS1". The stretch from base 1 to 106 matches the Rfam family "5.8S ribosomal RNA", at positions 50 to 154 of the family's 154-position model. The record is from RNAcentral. Lineage: Eukaryota; Fungi.